GUCUAGGGCCAUACCAUCCUGAAUGCAUCUACCUUGGAAGCUAAGCAGGGUUGGGCCUGGUUAGCACUUGGUGGGAGACAAAGCAAUAAGUCUCUGGGUAGAAAAGGAAGAGCUCUAAGCA
Molecule: ribosomal RNA, 121 nt
Organism: Vulpes vulpes (red fox)
Lineage: Eukaryota; Metazoa; Chordata; Mammalia; Carnivora; Canidae
Source: Ensembl